Molecule: ribosomal RNA, 119 nt
Filed under: Opisthorchis viverrini
Lineage: Eukaryota; Metazoa; Platyhelminthes; Trematoda; Opisthorchiida; Opisthorchiidae
Source: RNAcentral
UGCCAAGACCAUACCAUGUUGGAAACACCGGUUCUCGUCUGGUCACCGAAGUUAAGCAACGUUGGGGCCUGUUAGUACUUGCAUGGGUGACCAGCUGGGAAUACCGGGCGUUGCGGCCG